AUGCUGUCCUGGGUGGCACUUUCUGCCAUUGCCACAGAGGCCCCCUCUCUGUAGAAUGCAGCCUUCCUAGUCCAGGGGUAUUGCAGGCAACAAGGACCUUUCACACAAGGCAGCCACUCCUUGCUCCUCUACCACCUCUUCCUUCCUUUUCCUGUGGGGGGAAAGUUCAUUUUGGGUUGAGCCCUGAAUAAUUCUUCCAGUUUCUUUAUCCCAAAACUGGUGAGGACCCUAUGUGCUCCAAACUGGGGCUGAUCUUGAAUGCUUUAUCCAAAGAAAUACAUAUGAUCACUCCAGAGACCUUCUCACCAUAUCAAUAGUAGGGUUACUUGUCUAUGUAAUUUAAAAAUAUGGUGCCUCUAUUGGAGAAUUUGCUCAUAAACUCAAUGAGCAAAACAUUGCUCAACUAGAAGAGGUGAAGCAGGCUUCAUCAAACAAAUCCAGGUUGCAAUUGAUUUGGAGAAGUCACAGCAGUCACUGGUUCACAAGUGCCAUCACCUUUUUGAUGUGCAGAGGAAUAACAUUGCUAUGGCUCUGGAGGUUACUUACUGGGAACAACUGCAAAGAGUGUAUAAGGAAGUAAAGAAUCGCCUGGACUAUCAUAUAUCUGUGCAGAACAUGACGCGCUGAAAGGGACAAGAGCACAUGAUAAAUUGGGUGGAGAAGCACAUGGUAAGGGCAUCUCUCCACAGCAGCUUUGGGACCUAAAGCUAUUGGAAAAGAAGGCUCACACAUGGCCAGUUAUGUAAAUGUAUCUAUCCCAAUUGAGACAGCCAUAAACAUUUGACUGGCUAGUGGAAACUAGUCUAUGUGGCAAAAUCUUUCUGGAUUGCUGUCUACUAAAGUAGUUUAUAUGUCCUAAAAAUGAAACCUUUGUUCAACAUACUGAGAGAACUCAAUCUGUUGGUCAGAUGUUUCUCAUCCUUCUGACUCUGCAUUUGAGUUGUUCCAUGAUUACUUUUUUUGUUGUUGGUUUUCUCAUUUUUGUUUCCAGAUGGAGUCUCGCUCUGUCACCCAGGCUGGAGUGCAGUGGCACGAUCUUGGCACACUGCAACCUCUGCCUCCUGGGUUCAAGUGAUUCUCCUGUCUCAGCCUCCCAAGUACCUGGGAUUACAGGUGUGCACUAUCAUGCCUGGCUAAUUUUUGCAUUUUUAGUAGAGACAGGGUUUUGCCAGCUUGACCAGGCUGGUUUCGAACUCCUGACCUCAGGUGAUUUAAUCACCUUGGCCUUCCAAAGUGUUUGGAUUACAGGCAUUAGCCACCAUGCCUGGCCUCAUGAUGGUUUUUGAAAAAGUAGUUUGCCUUGAUUAAAUGUUGGUGCCUGACUAAAGAUUACCAGGCUAUAGUUUAAAUUUGUAAUUUAUUCUACCAUCUUGCAAUAAAGUGACAAAUGAAUGAAGCAAUAAAUAAAUAAAUAAUAAAGUUGAAAAAAAUAAAGGUACCUCUGGCUAUGCCUGCUCAGAUAAAACAAAUCCCAGUGUUGCCCUAACAGAGCGUCAGGACAUUAGUUAGAAAUCUUUCAACAAGUCCAGAAACACCCAAUGCAGGCAACUCUGAGAGACACACUUUAUCAAAGCUCCUUACUCCAAGUACAUAAACUUGUUGGGCACUUUGCCAUCACAAAUAUCUUAAAAUAUUGUCAAAUGUGUGUUUUCACACAUACACAUACACAAACUAGAUAAGACAGAGCAUUCCAUAGUUUACUACUGAAUGCAAAUAUUAAUAAAUAUUUUUUUAAAAAUCUUUUUAAACAUUGCAAGAAUUCCCAGUCUUAAAAUAAUUACUGGAGGGCUUAAUUUUUUACUUUCUUUCUUAGACAUUACAUUUUUAGAUAGGCCUAUCCAGAAGUGAUAAUCUGAACAUCAACUUGGGCAAAUCUGUUUAUCUAUACAUGUGGUGUAAGGAGUAGCUUUGGAAAUUUACUCCUGUGUUGUAUACAUUUUACAUGUACCAGAAUAUAGUGUAAAAGGUGCCUAUACAAAACCUUCUCUUAAAACUGAAAGCAGUUAGGAUUGGGAGUCUGCAAAGAUAACAAGUAUCUGAAGAUGAACAGAAAACUGGUGAAUCAUGUUUCAGUGGGAUUUGGAAAGUGUAAUAUAUGAGGCAUUAGGCUUAGGAAAAUCACAGGCCAAAACUGCUCCUAAAAUAUAUUUGUAAGAGAACAGGCCCCUUCUGGAUAAAUGAAGACAUUUCUAGAAAUACGAGGUAGAAUAAAUAACUUUCAUUAAUGUUUUCCUAAAAAACUUGAACUUGAUCUGGAAGAGAAAAACAAUGCACAUAGAGACAUUCAUAUUUAAAGGAACAGGGUAAAAUUUUUAAAUAUUCGAUUUGUAUUAGAAUAUCUUAAAAGAAUUUAGAGCUUGGGAAGAGUUUCUCACAUUCAACUGCCAGUUUUUCAGAGGAGGAAAUGAAGGUCAAGAGAAAGGCUACAUGACUGAGAAGUCCAUCAGUCCUACUGAGGGUAACGGGAGGGUAGCCAGGGCUGAAUCUCCCAUCUUUCAACACUAGUAGUAGUACUGUUUAUUGGUCUAUGGAAGGAGGUUGUCUUGUUUCUUCUUGUAGACAAAGAACAUGUAGUUGUUAUGAAUUUCUAUUUUGGAUCUGAUUUUCUACCACGUUCAAUUUUUAGAAAUAUACAUUAGUAUGUACCUAAUAAUUUUUUAGCAGGUACAAUCUGCCAACUUCCUUACUACAUUGAUAAAUUAGAACACACAUAUAAAGCAACUCAAACCUAGAAACUGAUCAAUAAGAGACACUAUUUAUUUUCUUUUUUUUUUCCGGAACAUUUCACAAACUUCCCAUACUGUUUUUCUGUUAGCUUAAGCAUUGUUAAAUUCUUCCCUUUCACACCUACUGCCAAGAACCCACACUUAGCGAAGCAGCUUAAGUGACUCAGUUCAUGUCAAACGUUUCACAGGAUUCUUACUCCCAAGGCAACUCUUUACUAUCCAGUACAUAAGACUCUAGAACACUAAAAUUCUUUAUAUAGUGCCAUGUGGCAUCUAAAAUACCUUUGGCUAAGAAAUAAAACAUAUUUGAUGAAAGUCUGGGGUUGAAAUCAAAGAAUGGAUCAAAGUGGCCCUUCAUUUGGCUCCAAGUCAUCUCACCAUAGUGAAAUACAGCAGAAUGGCACUAAGCUACUGUAAUACCGAGGGGGGAGAUUUUGCAAAAACAGGGAGUAACAAACACGUUUUUGCUCCUACUUUAAAGUAAAUUGUACUAAUGACAACAAUAGUGAUCUUUUAUAGGCCCAAAUUGGAUCACUGAUCAAUAUGAUAGCAUUUCAGUUUCAAAUAUUGGAAAGCAAAAAAUAAUCUGCCAAUUAGAAAACAAAAAGCUUCAAACUUGAGUGAUGUAAUGAUGGAACACCUGUAUUUGACUAGACGUUAUAUACACACCAUUGAAAGACACAGUACCUUAUCUGCCUAAUCUCUACAAACUGCUGCAAAUAAAGGAUGUUUAAACCAUG
This is an RNA transcript of Callithrix jacchus (white-tufted-ear marmoset), 3466 nucleotides long. It is a transcript of the gene named ATP synthase peripheral stalk subunit b, mitochondrial pseudogene, with no coding region annotated. The record is from RefSeq and is a predicted model, not a curated record. Lineage: Eukaryota; Metazoa; Chordata; Mammalia; Primates; Cebidae.